GGGUUGGGGCUGAGUGACCAGUCAAUUCCCCAGGGGACUCGAGUGCAGGCUUCCCCCGGUGCCGUCACGGCCAUGGCAUCAAGAGAGCAGACGACACUCGUUUCUUUUGCCGUGGACCAGACGCUCUUAAGAUGAAAGAUGUGUUACUUGCUCUACCCUGCCACACUCAGAAAGGUCUCCAUGUGACUCUCAGAAAUGACGGGGGCACGGGACCUCCUCUUUUCAUUUUUGAGGUUCAUUUUUCUUCUGGUUAUAGAAGUGAAGUCUCAUUUUUAGGUCUUUGAAGACCUCGAAGUAUAAUUUCUAAAAGCAAACAUUUUAACAUCAGAUUGUACUUCCUACUAUGAAGAGAAGCCAUCACUGAUUUAAGACCUACUCAUGCUACUGGAGAGUACUAACAUAAAAAAAGUUACUUUAAAGGGAGGAAUAGUAGAUGAACAUGGAAAAAUCCAUCACCAAGGCCAUUGUUAUGCAUUUCCUCAAAGAA
Molecule: long non-coding RNA, 487 nt
Organism: Myotis brandtii (Brandt's bat)
Lineage: Eukaryota; Metazoa; Chordata; Mammalia; Chiroptera; Vespertilionidae
Exons: 3
Source: RefSeq, a predicted model, not a curated record